This 534-nucleotide ribosomal RNA is filed under the name uncultured bacterium. Its description in RNAcentral is "bacterial SSU rRNA". It matches the Rfam family "Bacterial small subunit ribosomal RNA", at positions 122 to 651 of the family's 1533-position model. The record is from RNAcentral.
GAAUCUGCCUGGUAGUGGGGGAUAACGUCCGGAAACGGACGCUAAUACCGCAUACGUCCUACGGGAGAAAGCAGGGGACCUUCGGGCCUUGCGCUAUCAGAUGAGCCUAGGUCGGAUUAGCUAGUUGGUGGGGUAAUGGCUCACCAAGGCGACGAUCCGUAACUGGUCUGAGAGGAUGAUCAGUCACACUGGAACUGAGACACGGUCCAGACUCCUACGGGAGGCAGCAGUGGGGAAUAUUGGACAAUGGGCGAAAGCCUGAUCCAGCCAUGCCGCGUGUGUGAAGAAGGUCUUCGGAUUGUAAAGCACUUUAAGUUGGGAGGAAGGGCAGUAAAUUAAUACUUUGCUGUUUUGACGUUACCGACAGAAUAAGCACCGGCUAACUCUGUGCCAGCAGCCGCGGUAAUACAGAGGGUGCAAGCGUUAAUCGGAAUUACUGGGCGUAAAGCGCGCGUAGGUGGUUCGUUAAGUUGGAUGUGAAAUCCCCGGGCUCAACCUGGGAACUGCAUUCAAAACUGACGAGCUAGAGUAUGG